RNAcentral lists this transfer RNA (72 nucleotides) under Danionella translucida. It matches the Rfam family "tRNA". From Rfam's summary of the family: Transfer RNA (tRNA) molecules are approximately 80 nucleotides in length. Their secondary structure includes four short double-helical elements and three loops (D, anti-codon, and T loops). Further hydrogen bonds mediate the characteristic L-shaped molecular structure. tRNAs have two regions of fundamental functional importance: the anti-codon, which is responsible for specific mRNA codon recognition, and the 3' end, to which the tRNAs corresponding amino acid is attached (by aminoacyl-tRNA synthetases). tRNAs cope with the degeneracy of the genetic code in two manners: having more than one tRNA (with a specific anti-codon) for a particular amino acid; and 'wobble' base-pairing, i.e. permitting non-standard base-pairing at the 3rd anti-codon position. RNAcentral also lists the same sequence under 1 other name. The record is from Rfam by way of RNAcentral. Lineage: Eukaryota; Metazoa; Chordata; Actinopteri; Cypriniformes; Danionidae.
GACCUUGUGGCGCAACGGUUGCGCGUCUGACUCCAAAUCAGAAGGUUGUGUGUUCAAGUCAAAUCAAGGUCA